GCCUAGCUUGGUAGCGUGAGCUUGUAACUCAAGUGAGGGCAUUAAAGUGGGAUGGACUUUGAAUGAGCUCAGAUUGGUUGGGUCAAGUGUCUGCAAUAGCUGGCUUGCCCGUUCCAAGUUCCGACUGGAAACAAGUGCUCCAAGUGGAGGCUUGGCCCCCUUGGUUCGGAGAGGGCACUUGCCGGUUCGAGUGAUAAAGGCAUCGCCCGUUUCAAAUGAAGCAAGUGUUUCAAGCGUAAAAGGCUUGGGCCCCUUGAUUCAUAGCUGGCUUCACAGAGCUGCGACUACCUCUUGGUCUGAACAGUGGAAGGAUCACAGGCCGGUGCAUCCUUGGCUCGAGAAUAAAGCUUGGCUCAUUCUAAUGGACUCCCACUUUU
This 377-nucleotide signal recognition particle RNA is filed under the name Helianthus annuus (common sunflower). RNAcentral's name for it is "Plant signal recognition particle RNA". It matches the Rfam family "Plant signal recognition particle RNA". Lineage: Eukaryota; Viridiplantae; Streptophyta; Magnoliopsida; Asterales; Asteraceae. The record is from RNAcentral.